UGCUUUCUUCUUGAGUAUGCUGUCUAAUGCAAUAUAGUUGGUGGCGAAUCGAGUGGUAGCUGGACGAAUAAUUUCUCCUUUGCAAAAUUCACGCAUCUUUGGCAACAACCAACCGUGAUUGUAAAUAUAAUUUGUGAUCGUUCUAGCUCUUUUGACCACAGUAGCAACAUUCUCUCUCUUCCCCAUUGCCUCAAACAUGAGAUCAAUACAAUGUGCUGCACAUGAUGUCCAAAACACAUUAUGAUGCUUCAUUAACUUUUUUCCAGCUUUGACAAAUGUAGAACCGUUGUCGGUCACGACUUGGACAACAUUAUGCUCUCCCACCUCCAUGAUUACAUCCCUCAAUAAUUUGUAAAUAU
RNAcentral lists this long non-coding RNA (359 nucleotides) under Malus domestica (apple). Its description in RNAcentral is "long non-coding RNA (MDOM_LNC005261)". The record is from RNAcentral. Lineage: Eukaryota; Viridiplantae; Streptophyta; Magnoliopsida; Rosales; Rosaceae.